RNAcentral lists this long non-coding RNA (2148 nucleotides) under Nicotiana tabacum (common tobacco). RNAcentral describes it as "long non-coding RNA (NTAB_LNC019271)". Lineage: Eukaryota; Viridiplantae; Streptophyta; Magnoliopsida; Solanales; Solanaceae. The record is from RNAcentral.
CGUGCCAACUCUCCAUUCCAAUUCACUGUCCACUAUUUUUCUCCAUUUAACUUCACAGAUAUUUAAUGAAACCAAAGUAAGAAAAACUCUAAACGAGGCCAUGUAGCUAUGCCAAACCUAACAACUAACUACUUUUAUACAUUAACAAACGCAUGAAUAUAGACCCUACUUCUCAAACUUCAAGUUGUAUUCUAUCUAAACAAACUUCAAGUAUUUGGGACUUCCCUUUUGAACAUUGGACUCACCUACAGGAAUACUAAAUCAUACCAAGAUAAAGGUGCAAAGAAUCUAAUUUAGCUUAAACACUUGUCAUUCGAAAGUAACAUCACGACGGCUUAAUUACCUAACACAAGACAUAGCAGGAAACUUCAUGGUUAAACUUCAGUGUCUCAUAAAGCAAAACAAGAAGAAAACUCAAAAGUACAAGAAAAAGACCUUAAAAAUAUGAAGUUACACAUUUCAGAUCUACACGUUAUUAAUAACUGAUUUUGGUUUAACACUUGAAGAGAUGAAAUAGAUCAUUAUCUUCAAUCAAUUACUAUAAAAUCAGUAUUACAAAGUUUAAAGGUUACUUGAAGAGCAAAAAUACAAUACAGUAGUAAAAACGAGCAGAAACAGCAGCGAUUUUGUGUCCAAACACCCCCAAAACCUUAGAGAAGAAGCCUAGAAUCAACUCUAUAGAGUUAUUUUUUCUUUUUGAAAGAGUUUUCACCCUAAGAAGUACUCGCAAAGCUCACAAUUUCAGCUUAUUUUCUUUUUGUUCAGAUGUUGAUGUUUCUCUCAAGUUUUAUGUGUUCAAGCAACUCUAAAGGUGUGUCUAGUGUGUCAAGAUGUGUGUGUCAAGUGAGGAAAGAGCAGCCCUUUAAUUAGGCAAAGAGAGUCACUUUUUGGACAGAUUUUGGUUCACCAAAAAUCUGUCCAAAAAGACUGACUUUGUGUGCCAAAACACUACCCAAGGGUUGUCCAAAAGGUGAGAGGACAGCUUGAAAACCUGCUGUGGUAGAAGUAUGAAGAAAAACAGUAUUUUCAGUCACCCUUCUAGUAAAAAGGUGACCUAUUAUAUACCCUAUUUCAUGAUUACACCCAUCUACCCUUAAGAUUUUAUCAACAUCGUUACCAAACCACUUACUCAAAAACAAAUAACUAAAAAUCAAUUAACUGAUUGAACUAUUAACUAGAAAUCAAUUAACUAGAACUUCAAGAUUGAAACCAAGCAAGAAACAUGUAUUAAACCAUGAAAUACUUAAAACUAAUCCGCUUAAACAAAAAUGAUUAUCAGAAACACUAACCUAAACUCAGACCUUACCGACAUAAAGCAAAGCAAAAAUACAUCAACAGUAAUACAAACUAACAUGAACAAUUAAGUUAAAAAAUAAAAAAUCAGAAAUUAGAUUGAGAGCUAACUGAAAUGAUCACUAAACAGAAUUAUAACAAAACUACAAACAAAUGACGUGGAAACAGAAAAUCAAAAACUCGAAGGAAAGGAUUAGGAUUUGAGUUUAUACCAAGCUCUGGGACAUUCAACGUCGAAUCGAGCAACGAGAUGAUGCCAAGGAUGCCAACUGGUGGAUGUCCAACCUUGAAACGCUCAUUUCAUUUCGGCAGAUGCUAAAUUCAAUGAACUCGGCGUCGUACCAAAAUAAAACGGAUGUCUUUGGGUAGAAUAUGUUUUAAAACAAAGGUCAUAUGAGUAGGGAAGAAGAAAAUAAAGAGGAAAAGAAGAGUGAGCAGCGGCAGUGGUAGCGGCGGGAGGUGGUGAGGGCUACUGGCCAGUGGUGGUGCUGAGAAGCGGCAGUGGUAGGGAAAGUGUAGAUCUCCUUGAGAUCUACACAUUUAUGUAAGAUUUGUGGGGUGUGGUGGUUGAAUUUGUCACGAAUUUGAGAAAGAAAAAAGAAAAAUUAGGGCGGCUAGGGUUUCGGUUAGGGUUUGAUCUACGGAGAUUGGUAGAGAUUUGGAGGAUAUGAGGCUUGGAUUAAUGGUGAGGAGGUUGAGAGGAAGAAAUGGUAAAAAUUUGGGGUGGUUUGGACGACAGCCGCCGUCAGUGGGCGAUUUCCGACGGCAGAGCAGGUCGGCGGAUGGCGAGGUCUUGAAUGAGAGGGGGGAGAGUGAAAAGAGAGGAAGAAGAGAGGAAAUAAGGGGAAAAUGGGG